GGGCCUGUAGUCUAAUGGUAGAAUACUCCGCUUGCACCGGAGAGACCCGUGUUCAACUCACGGCAGGUCCA
This 71-nucleotide transfer RNA is filed under the name archaeon. RNAcentral's name for it is "tRNA-Ala". It matches the Rfam family "tRNA". Rfam says of the family: Transfer RNA (tRNA) molecules are approximately 80 nucleotides in length. Their secondary structure includes four short double-helical elements and three loops (D, anti-codon, and T loops). Further hydrogen bonds mediate the characteristic L-shaped molecular structure. tRNAs have two regions of fundamental functional importance: the anti-codon, which is responsible for specific mRNA codon recognition, and the 3' end, to which the tRNAs corresponding amino acid is attached (by aminoacyl-tRNA synthetases). tRNAs cope with the degeneracy of the genetic code in two manners: having more than one tRNA (with a specific anti-codon) for a particular amino acid; and 'wobble' base-pairing, i.e. permitting non-standard base-pairing at the 3rd anti-codon position. The record is from RNAcentral. RNAcentral also lists the same sequence under 2 other names.